GUCUCCGUAGCUCAGCUGGAUAGAGCGCACGCCUCCUAAGCGUGAGGUCGCAGGUUCAAAUCCCGCCGGGGACGCCA
Molecule: transfer RNA, 77 nt
Filed under: Hydrocarboniphaga daqingensis
Lineage: Bacteria; Pseudomonadati; Pseudomonadota; Gammaproteobacteria; Nevskiales; Nevskiaceae
Description: tRNA_Arg_CCT
Rfam family: tRNA
About the family: Transfer RNA (tRNA) molecules are approximately 80 nucleotides in length. Their secondary structure includes four short double-helical elements and three loops (D, anti-codon, and T loops).
Source: RNAcentral